AUAUUAUUGAAAAGUAACUGGAAGAGCAUUUUUAUUUUGUCUCGGAAAUAUUAAUACUAAUUAAGUAAACUCCCAAUAAAAAUGUUAUGAUAUCCAUAAAAGAAAAAUUAAAGACGGCGGAAAAUAAACUUUUCUUUGCACUUAAUUUCCACAAACAUGAAUAAAAGCCAGAGCCGCCCGAAAAAGUUAACAGAACUCUAAAACACUAACUUUUUCCUGGCCACUUCGGACUAAAGCAAAACACCAAAAAGAGCGACCAAAUCACAAACAAACAUUAAUUUGCAUAAUUUACUGUGGACACCCAAACAGAAAUGUGCCAGAAUUUCGCAGCCAGUAUUUUUAAACCAUUUCCAUUUCUUUACAUUCACUUUCUCCUUUGUGCGGGUUUGGGGUUCUUAAUGCAUAAUUUAACAGCAGCCAGAAAAGCCAGAGGCUAGGGACAAUAGGGGCGGGCGCGGCCCGGCAACAAGAGCCCAGGGAAGUUGGGAACAAUCAACAACUGCGUGUUGUUAUUCAAGGCACACGCACACCACCGACUUUCGCACACACACACACUCUCGCACACCCUAACCACCAGACGCCACACGGCGUAUACGCAACGUGAAUCAUGGAAGCGGGACAAGACUAACGAGGCCUAGGCUUGAAAAAAAUGUACAAAAAUCCGAGAAAAUUGGGGGAGUGGCGGCUGGUAGGUAUAGCGUAAAGGUAAUGAAGAGCAACAGAGCGGAGCCGUAAAGAAGCAAUUUUCCGCACACACAGAUUUUCCUUUUCAACUCAAAUUUCGUGGGGAUUUGGCUUUGUGGGCCUGGGUUUCCUUAACAGUUUUUCCACACAAUUUUAAACGGUUAAAUGUCACAAGUCAAGUAAUAGCACACGCGUCAUUUGGAAAUCAUUUUGACAUUUUAUUGUAUUUCUUUUCUGGUAACAGUAUAUUUUUCUUGUGUUUUCUCAAGGGCUGGAUUAUCUUAAAUGCAUAAAGGUGAUACGGUACGUUUGAGUACGAGCCAACAACUCGAACUACUAUUUACAACUCCGCUUGAGUGUAAGUUUCAAACUCGACUGAAGCGUUGAGCGGAUUGCGUUCGUCUUUUAAGCAUUUUUCCGCCACUCAACUUGAGACUCGUCGCCGCCUACACACGAGUCCUCGUCGAGUGAAUUUCCCGGACGAGUGGAAAGCCAGUUGCCUCUCUCUUGCGCUUCCCUUCUGCGGUUCGGUUUUCCCCGCGGCAUUCGCUCUUUGCCGUGCUCUCAAUGUCACUUGCAGGGCUCGGGCACCUGCUCUGGGCCAUAUUUCGUUGGUUGCGUUGAUGGCUUCUGGCUGGUGGCCAGGAGCGGUUCUCAUCUCACCCACACCGCGGGUUGGGCCCCCGCAAGGAACUUGAAAUUGAUACAUGAAUGUUUCAAUUAGGUGGAAUUUCAAAAUAUAGGAGAGUUACGGCAUUUUAGCUUAAGCCAAGCCGAAGCUCAUCUACUCGUAAUGUGGCCAAUAAAUGAAGCAACAAAUACCAAUUAGCGCCAACAGAAUUCGCCUGGCCGUGGUCUUAGCAGUAAAACAGGGCCAAAACCGAUGUAGAAAUGGCCAAGCAACAGUGGUAUAAAUGUAAAUACGAACUUUGGAGUAAAUGAGAGCCAUCAAGAGAGAGGAAGCUUCGAAUGCCGGCCCUCCCUAUUUGGUCUGCCCACGCAACUAUCCAUGGAGCCACCCAUUUCCCCCCCGGGCGACUUUCCUGGGCGCCCACGCAGACCAGCAGGUGACGCUGAUUCGACGACGUCCUCGAAGCGUUGGCGUUGCACUCAAAUGCGAAAAGCGACAGUAGAAGCUUUUCCGAGGGCGGAUAAUAAACAAAAAUAUGGCUCGUAUUUCCGACACCUGUCGUUGGGCGUUCUUGGUUAAAUUACUUAAUUGAAGGCUUUUCCCAAUAGAAAAUAAAUGUAGUUUUGGACAUGGUAUAUUUUA
Molecule: long non-coding RNA, 1957 nt
Organism: Drosophila yakuba
Lineage: Eukaryota; Metazoa; Arthropoda; Insecta; Diptera; Drosophilidae
Exons: 3
Source: RefSeq, a predicted model, not a curated record